This 466-nucleotide ribosomal RNA is filed under the name uncultured bacterium. RNAcentral's name for it is "partial 16S ribosomal RNA". It matches the Rfam family "Bacterial small subunit ribosomal RNA", at positions 28 to 507 of the family's 1533-position model. The record is from RNAcentral.
GAUGAACGCUGGCGGCGUGCUUAACACAUGCAAGUCGAACGAUGAAGCCCAGCUUGCUGGGUGGAUUAGUGGAGAACGGGUGAGUAACACGUGAGUAACCUGCCCUUAACUCUGGGAUAAGCCUGGGAAACUGGGUCUAAUACCGGAUAGGAGCGUCCACCGCAUGGUGGGUGUUGGAAAGAUUUAUCGGUUUUGGAUGGACUCGCGGCCUAUCAGCUUGUUGGUGAGGUAAUGGCUCACCAAGGCGACGACGGGUAGCCGGCCUGGGAGGGUGACCGGCCACACGGGGACUGAGACACGGCCCAGACUCCUACGGGAGGCAGCAGUGGGGAAUAUUGCACAAUGGGCGCAAGCCUGAUGCAGCGACGCCGCGUGAGGGAUGACGGCCUUCGGGUUGUAAACCUCUGUCAGUAGGGAAGAAGCGAAAGUGACGGUACCUGCAGAAGAAGCACCGGCUAACUACGUG